UAGGGUGCAAGCGUUAAUCGGAAUUACUGGGCGUAAAGCGUGCGCAGGCGGUUUUGUAAGACAGUGGUGAAAUCCCCGGGCUCAACCUGGGAACUGCCAUUGUGACUGCAAGGCUAGAGUGCGGCAGAGGGGGAUGGAAUUCCGCGUGUAGCAGUGAAAUGCGUAGAUAUGCGGAGGAACACCGAUGGCGAAUGCAAUCCCCUGGGCCUGCACUGACGCUCAUGCACGAAAGCGUGGGGAGCAAACAGGAUUAGAUACCCUGGUAGUCAAGGGCG
Molecule: ribosomal RNA, 275 nt
Filed under: uncultured Burkholderiales bacterium
Lineage: Bacteria; Pseudomonadati; Pseudomonadota; Betaproteobacteria; Burkholderiales
Description: partial 16S ribosomal RNA
Rfam family: Bacterial small subunit ribosomal RNA
Source: RNAcentral